Molecule: transfer RNA, 72 nt
Filed under: Vibrio phage PhiImVa-1
Lineage: Duplodnaviria; Heunggongvirae; Uroviricota; Caudoviricetes; Schitoviridae
Rfam family: tRNA
About the family: Transfer RNA (tRNA) molecules are approximately 80 nucleotides in length.
Source: Rfam by way of RNAcentral
GGUUCCUUAGCUCAGUGGUAGAGCAGUUGGCUGUUAACCAAUUGGUCGUAGGUUCAAAUCCUACAGGAACCG